GAUAACAGGUUGAUCUUCCCCAAGAGUCCACAUCGACGGGAAGUUUUGGCACCUCGAUGUCGCCUCUUCGCCACCUGGAGCUAUAGGUGGUUCCAAGGGUUGGGCUGUUCGCCCAUUAAUGCGGUAUGUGAACUGGGUUCAGAACAUCGUGAGACAAUUC
Molecule: non-coding RNA, 160 nt
Filed under: Oryza brachyantha (malo sina)
Lineage: Eukaryota; Viridiplantae; Streptophyta; Magnoliopsida; Poales; Poaceae
Description: Bacterial large subunit ribosomal RNA
Rfam family: Bacterial large subunit ribosomal RNA
Source: Rfam by way of RNAcentral